AGCAGCAGCCGCGGUAAUACGAAGGGGGCUAGCGUUGUUCGGAUUUACUGGGCGUAAAGCGCACGUAGGCGGAUCCUUAAGUCAGAGGUGAAAUCCCAAGGCUCAACCUUGGAACUGCCUUUGAUACUGGGGAUCUCGAGUUCGGGAGAGGUGAGUGGAACUGCGAGUGUAGAGGUGAAAUUCGUAGAUAUUCGCAAGAACACCAGUGGCGAAGGCGGCUCACUGGCCCGAUACUGACGCUGAGGUGCGAAAGCGUGGGGAGCAAACAGGAUUAGAUACCCCGGUAGUCCCUGUCUCUUAUAC
This 303-nucleotide ribosomal RNA is filed under the name uncultured bacterium. RNAcentral's name for it is "partial 16S ribosomal RNA". It matches the Rfam family "Bacterial small subunit ribosomal RNA", at positions 507 to 807 of the family's 1533-position model. The record is from RNAcentral.